GAUGAAGAACGUAGUGAAAUGCGAUACGUAAUGUGAAUUGCAAAUUCAGUGAAUCAUCGAGUCUUUGAACGUACAUUGCGCCCCCUGGUAUUCCGGGGGGCAUGCCUGUCCGAGCGUCAUUGCUGCCCUCAAGCACGGCUUGUGUGUUGGGCCCCGUCCUCCGAUCCCGGGGGACGGGCCCGAAAGGCAGCGGCGGCACCGCGUCCGGUCCUCGAGCGUAUGGGGCUUUGUCACCCGCUCUGUAGGCCCGGCCGGCGCUUGCCGAUCAACCCAAAUUUUUAUCCAGGUUGACCUCGGAUCAGGUAGGGAUACCCGCUGAACUUAAGCAUAUCAAUAAGCGGAGGA
Molecule: unclassified non-coding RNA, 345 nt
Filed under: soil metagenome
Description: partial contains 5.8S ribosomal RNA, internal transcribed spacer 2, and large subunit ribosomal RNA
Rfam family: 5.8S ribosomal RNA (bases 1-119)
Source: RNAcentral